AAGAAGAGCUUCUAAUACUUACUGAGCACUUACGUAAUAGUCACUGUUUUACUGUUUUGUGCAUAUUUACUUAUUUAAUCUUCACAUCAACUCGAGUGGAGUACAAUUAGUUCUCAGUAUUACAUACGUGCAAAUGGAGUCACAGAAGAUGAAUCCCAAGAAUUUCGUUUAAGGGGCAAUUUUUUUUUAAGUUACACAUCAAUAAAUGAUGAACCAAACAUUUCCAUAUGAAGCCAGAUCUACCAAUUACUUUUUACAAAUACCUCCUUCGGAGAGAUCCCUGGGAACAGGAUACUGUUCUGGGAAUUUUUCCUGAUUUUGAAGAAGACAUUAUUCUUUUCUGAGACUCCAAAGCCUCCAAAGAAAGACUCUGCAAACCAUGGUCUUGUUAAUCCUGUGGAGCAGGAGUCAGUUUCUGCGUCAUUGGCGUUAAUGAUGAGUGAUACAUUUGACAAAGAUUAGUCCUGAGCUAACGUCUGUGCCCAUCUUCCUCCACUUUAUACGUGGGACGCCUGCCACAGCAUGGCUUGACAAGCGGUGCUGUGUCCGCAAAUGGUAUGGGAACCAGGAAACCCUGGGCCGCCGAAGUGGAGCAUGUGAAUUUAACUGCUGCACCAUCAGGCCGGCCCCCCUAAUGAUGGUGGCUACGAUCAUGAGGAGGAUGAUUAUGAUGAUGAGAUUUAUCAUCAAAAUCAUUAUUGAUCACCUAUUAUGUACCAAGCACCAUGCCAGGUGUUCCCUGUUUUGUGUAGUCAGCAUGUGAUUCUCUACACACCUGUGUACAUUUCAAAUCCAGGGUGACCCAGGUUAAUGCCACCUCUGUCAGUGGGAAAACCAGCACUAAGCUUUGCAGCCACCAUAAGCAAUAAUUCCUAGUAGCUAUCACCCGAGGGUGUAAUUUUCACUAGGGAUUUUUGGAAGAGAGGCAAAAAAGCUAUGAAAAUACCCC
RNAcentral lists this long non-coding RNA (949 nucleotides) under Equus caballus (horse). RNAcentral describes it as "lncRNA (ENSECAG00000049497.1)". The record is from RNAcentral. Lineage: Eukaryota; Metazoa; Chordata; Mammalia; Perissodactyla; Equidae.